AAGGGACCAAUGGUCUAAUGCCCAACAAUCAAAAUUAACCCAAAAAUAAAAGAAAGUGAUAAACAAAAAAAUUGAAGAAAACAUAAUUCAUGUUAGCAGCUCCCCACGAGGCUCAACGUCUAUGCCUUCUUUAUUUUACCAAACUUUAAAAUGGACGAAUAACAAGGUGACACGUGGAAUGCUUAUUAAAAAAACAAAACAAAAAUAAUCCUCUCAUUCUCUCUUUCUCACGUUAUGCUUCUACAAUAACAAAAA
RNAcentral lists this long non-coding RNA (255 nucleotides) under Lathyrus oleraceus (garden pea). RNAcentral describes it as "Pisum sativum (pea) long non-coding RNA (PSAT_LNC029973)". Lineage: Eukaryota; Viridiplantae; Streptophyta; Magnoliopsida; Fabales; Fabaceae. The record is from RNAcentral.